UGACUCCUCCAGCUCUCUUCCUCCUGGCGUCUUGUCCGUGCUGUGCAGAUUGUUUUCCACGACACCAUCCGUACCAAAAGCUAGCAGGUUAUUCAGCCGUUCCCUAUUCUCAGAUAGAACGACAGUCUCGAUACCCAAUCAAGUACAGCACCAGACAUAGGGUGUCAGCCACGCCGACCAGAUGGAGAGCGGCGAUCUGAUAUCCCGUCAUACCGCCUGGAGCAAUCGAAGAGACGAUGGAAGGCAUCACAAAGUAGCCCUAUUCACAUCACAGAUGGUGUUGACCGCCAAGAGGUAAUGAUUCGUAGCUUUUCUGAUGUAUUGAGACUGUACAAAUUUGUCUUGCAUGUUCUAGGUUUAUAUUAUACGCUAUCUCUGUAGCUAUCAGAUCCAGAGCUCUGCUGCUAUCAGAUCCAUGUACAGGAAUGAUAUGGAAUAGGCUAUCUACAGGCGACUCACUCUAAAGCUCUUGGCGGCCACUAUCUAUUAAUUAGCUGCUCAGCGCAAUCUACAAUCACAUACAGGGAACUGGCGAACUGCAUUGUAGGAGUAUUGGUCAGGGAACUGGCGAACUACAUUGUAGGAGUAUUGGUCAUCCAGCUUCAGGGACCUUUUGAGGCGGUUAUUUCGAGAUCCAUGUGCGACACUUCACAGCCUGCAAAUGUUAUACGCCUGAAGAUUUGAUGGGCUAUCAAUAAGUUUGCUGUUCGAUCAUAGACUACACAACGAAGGUCUGAAAUUAAGUAUGGACAGAGUGUAGAGAAUAUCACCGAGGUAAUACAUGUGACUGGUAGAGAUUUCUGAGAGAUUCAGGAUGUACUAAUGUUCAGCGAGUAAGGUAUAGCUACAAUCUAGCACCAUCUCUUGCACUAUUAAUUCAAUUUAGUGUGAUCGAAUUUUUAAGAAAUCCAUGUGUAGUUCUCUUGCACCUCGGUAGACACAUGUUAUGUUCUUGGAAGUGCAAUGUUUCUACUAUCUUAAAGUAGCUCUUGAUGGUUUUUUGCAUAUUUUAUUUCUUACAACCGAAAUAUCUCUACAUCUAUAAAGUCGAAUUUCCUGAAGUUAUACAUUAUACAGUGAGAACAAAAUUACUGCUUCCAAUCUCUUGAUGGUGAUUAGUCUGAACGGAAAAUUGCCAUAUAUGUAUGUUCUCCCACGUUUCUACAUACAAGUAGCUUGAUAAAUUUUCCUCUUAUUUCUGUUGUAUAUUCUUUCUAGGUUUGGCUCUAAUCAGCUAUGAUAUGCUGAUACUGCAGGAUCAAUUAAACUAGCUAAACUGAUGCACAUAGAUAUCCUAUUAAUAGUGUUGAAGUUCACUUUUUAGAGGUAAAGCAUGGAAAUACCAGUUGAUAUCGAUGUGUGUAUAUUAUUUGAUAUAUUUUACUUAGGAACAUCACACUACUUCUAAUAAAGUAUUCCUCUUCCGUAUUCCAGGUUUGUGUUGCCAUUGGUAUUGUUAAUUUACUACUAGCAUAUACUCUGCGUACUAAUGAAGAGCAUUCAGAGUGCACAAGAGCGUACGAGGAUCAAUACUGAAGUUAAUAUAUCAUCCAAGUUAUACAUGAUUCUAUCGAGAUUGUUGUUGGUCCACGUCCUUGAUGCAUGUGCAUAUAGUUUUGUCCAUGUAAUCAUGGAGGAAACUCCAAUAACCAUGCAAUAUGACAUCCCAAACUGUGAAUCGUCGAGCUAUAAGAAAUAAGACUUAAAUCUAUGUAAAAUAUACGUGAAUAAUUGUGAGAAUAUGAAUAAUUUCUCCCCAUUGACUACAUAUGAAAAUUGUCACAUGUUUCACAACCAAUUUUUGGUGUGUCAACCGUGCCAGCCACGUCGACGAGUCACAGCAUUAUAGGCUCACGGAACGGAAGGCAUCCAAGAGGAGGUCGUUGGCAUGUGAGCACUGAUCAACAAACCGAUGCCAAUAGGUCACAAAGGGAAUGGAUAAUAACUGCAUUGCCACAUGGGCAGGGGGCGGACAACACAAAGGAAUCGGCUCAUGCCUCUUGGACAAUUAUUAACAAGAUGGUGGUGCUCAAAAUACUUUUUAAUUGGUUUUGAAGCAUAUAUGUUGUUAUUUUUUUAUAGCAGUGUCACACUUGAUCUUCUAGACAUUACAUUGCUUUUGAAGCAUAUAUAGUUGUUACUUUUUAUGCAACUAUUGUACAUAGGAAAAUAUUUAUUUAUUGCCACUGAUAAGCAUAUAUUCAAUUAUAAGAUUAAUCAAA
Molecule: long non-coding RNA, 2222 nt
Organism: Lolium perenne
Lineage: Eukaryota; Viridiplantae; Streptophyta; Magnoliopsida; Poales; Poaceae
Source: RefSeq, a predicted model, not a curated record